GGCCGUGUGGCUGGAGGGGUACGUGGCCCACAGCCACCCUGGCUCUCGAGGGUGUUCCUGUCUGUGACUCUCAGGUCCCCAGGGCCUCGGGUCUUCAGGAAGGGACCUACGGUCAUGUCGAGAAGGGAGGGUCCCUCCGUUAAUGAGGACCCCUGCCCCUGGGGUCCCCCGCUGGCGAGCCCUCCCUGAUGCAAGCUCUCAUCUCGGACAGGCCCGGACUUGGCGGUCGUGUCCGUCCGUGGCCAUGCCGGGGCGUGGCUGCGAGCGGUGGCCUCCCGCUGGCCGGGCCAGCCACUACCCCCCCCAGCAUGUUACUCGGCUCACCCUGUGCUCCUUGCAGGGCUCCCUGGGGGGACCGGGUCUCAUGGGCACCGGGGCCGCUGACCGUGGAGCCCAGAGCUUCGGGGACAGGAGCACAGAGUCCCCACACAGUCACGGCAGCGAUCACCGCUGCGCCCAUCCCCGUCCGCGGGCACCGCACCACCCGCGUCCCGUUGCGUUUGGCUGGCUGCGCACCAGAGCCCGGGGCCUGCGUUGUCCCCAGGGUGCCCGCGCUCUGCAGGGGCCGCCCCGGGGAGUUAGGCGGUGCUGACGCGCGAGGCGAGGCCGUGGCCUGCACCCUCAGGGCGGUGAGAGUGUAUCACCUGUGCCACACCACCCCGGGAAGGUAGUCUGCUGUUUACCAUCUUGGCCGGGUGGGGGCAGUUCCUGAAGUUUCUGCUGGACUGUCCCCACCAACAGAGCCCCGCCCCUGGGCGGGGUGCAUCAACCGCACUUACUCAUUUGGGGACCGGAGUCCUGAGCACUGUGGUCCGGGGACCGGCUCAGCUUACCCAGGACCCGGUUUAUGAUCCGGGCCCAUGCGCCCCAGCUCUGCAGGCACCCGCGCCGGUGCAGACGGCGUCUCCCCGGGGGACGGCUGUGGAGUGAAGCCGUGGGCCUCUCGCGGGCCCCGCGGCUGACUCGGAAAGGCUGUGCCGGAAGCCGCCGCACGGAGAGGCCCACGCGCUGCACAGCCGCGGGAAGUCCCAUCGGCGAGGACCCGAAUCCGCGCCCCCAGGAGUGAGCUUCGGAUGAGACCGCGGCCCCGCCCUACCUGGACGCCGGACCCCGGAAACCGCGAGGCCACACAGCCGGGCUUGGAGGGAGCCAGUGAAGCUUGGGGUAUUUGCUCCCACUGUCAAAGCCCCCCCCAAAGGACGGCCACUAGCUGCGCACUGCUGACGGGAGCAGCCACUGGGGAGACAGCCCGAAGGCCCCUCGUGGAGCUGCCAGGGACACUGGCUUCCGUCCCGGGCGCGUGCCCACAGGAGCGGAAGGCGGGGCCUCACACACACCUGCACACACACCCGUACACGCCGUUAUCCCCGUGCACAAAAAGGGGAAGCGACCUGAGUGUCCACUGAUGGACGAAGGGACGAGCAAGACGCGGUCCAUCCGUGUAGGCGAUCAUCCCUAGAAAGGGCGCUUCACCCCUGCUGCACCGCGGGUGAACCCUGAGGGCACUGUGUUCGGUGAAAGAAGCCAUCACAGAAAGACAAAUCCUGUGUGGUUUCACGUCUAUAGGAGGUACCAGAAUCUGGAGUGGUCAGAUUCACAGAAGCAGAGAGUAGAGACGGUGGUGCUGGGGACGGUGCUGGUGGGGGUGGUGAGCGUCUGAUGGGGAGGGAGUUCCAGUUUGGGAAGAUGGAGAAGUUCUGGAGACGGGUAGUGGGGUGGGUGCACAACAACGUGAAUGUACUUGGUGCCCCUGAACCAGGCACUUUCAAACCGUUAGCUGACCUGGCGAAUCGUCUGUGGUGUAGAUUUUACCCGGUGAAAAAGCUGCUGAGUUAGCGGCGGGCAGCAGCCCCGAAACGCAAACCUCGGGGAUUUCCACGUCUGCGACCAGCUCACGGCCAAACACCUGCCCGGCACAACGUAAAAAGGAGAACAUUGACGAUACCGAUUUGACAAUUCAAUGUCGCUUUACUCCGAACGUGAAAUAACAAAUAACAAACAACCAUGGCUAGUUGAGAAAGAGACCACGGAAAAAAGGAAAACGUUUUCCUUUCUAGGUCCUUCAGUGUCCCUUCUACGGGCACUGCAGGGGGGAGCGGGGUGCCUCCC
This is a long non-coding RNA of Prionailurus viverrinus (fishing cat), 2109 nucleotides long. RefSeq lists it as uncharacterized. The transcript is spliced from 3 exons. NCBI's taxonomy places the organism in Eukaryota, Metazoa, Chordata, Mammalia, Carnivora, Felidae. The record is from RefSeq and is a predicted model, not a curated record.